GAUGAACGCUAGCGACAGGCUUAACACAUGCAAGUCGAGGGGCAGCAUGAGGUAGCAAUACCUUGAUGGCGACCGGCGCACGGGUGAGUAACGCGUAUGCAACCUGCCCGAUACCGGGGUAUAGCCCAUGGAAACGUGGAUUAACACCCCAUAGUACUUUUAUCCUGCAUGGGAUGUGAGUUAAAUGUUCAAGGUAUCGGAUGGGCAUGCGUCCUAUUAGUUAGUUGGCGGGGUAACAGCCCACCAAGACGAUGAUAGGUAGGGGUUCCGAGAGGAAGGGCCCCCACAUUGGAACUGGGACACGGUCCAAACUCCUACGGGAGGCAGCAGUGAGGAAUAUCGGUCAAUCGACGUAAGUCUGAACCGGCCAAGUCGCGUGAGGGAAGACUGCCCUAUGGGUUGUAAACCUCUUUUAUAAGGGAAGAAUAAGUGCUACGUGUAGAAUGAUGCCUGUACCUUAUGAAUAAGCAUCGGCUAACUCCGUGCCAGCCGCCGCGGUAA
Molecule: ribosomal RNA, 501 nt
Filed under: uncultured bacterium
Lineage: Bacteria
Description: partial 16S ribosomal RNA
Rfam family: Bacterial small subunit ribosomal RNA
Source: RNAcentral